This 542-nucleotide ribosomal RNA is filed under the name uncultured bacterium. Its description in RNAcentral is "partial 16S ribosomal RNA". It matches the Rfam family "Bacterial small subunit ribosomal RNA", at positions 356 to 889 of the family's 1533-position model. The record is from RNAcentral.
AGGGAAUCUUCCACAAUGGACGCAAGUCUGAUGGAGCAACGCCGCGUGAGUGAAGAAGGUUUUCGGACCGUAAAGCUCUGUUGUUGGUGAAGAAGGAUAGAGGUAGUAACUGGCCUUUAUUUGACGGUAAUCAACCAGAAAGUCACGGCUAACUACGUGCCAGCAGCCGCGGUAAUACGUAGGUGGCAAGCGUUGUCCGGAUUUAUUGGGCGUAAAGCGAGCGCAGGCGGAAGAAUAAGUCUGAUGUGAAAGCCCUCGGCUUAACCGAGGAAUUGCAUCGGAAACUGUUUUCUUGAGUGCAGAAGAGGAGAGUAGAACUCCAUGUGUAGCGGUGGAAUGCGUAGAUAUAUGGAAGAAUACCAGUGGCGAAGGCGGCUCUCUGGUCUGCAACUGACGCUGAGGCUCGAAAGCAUGGGUAGCGAACAGGAUUAGAUACCCUGGUAGUCCAUGCCGUAAACGAUGAGUGCUAAGUGUUGGGAGGCUUCCGCCUCUCAGUGCUGCAGCUAACGCAUUAAGCACUCCGCCUGGGGGAGUACGACCGC